UGUAUAGGGAUUGGUUUGAUAGUAGACUAAACAGCUUGCAUCACUAGUUAUGUUUUUUUUUCUUACAUAAAUGGACGGACGCUAAAUGGUGGUAAAUGGAUAAAUGGUCAAAUUGAUUAUUUUCAUUUACCUGUGUACAUUAUUCUAUUUGACGGCAUUUUGUUCAAGGUUAUGAUUGUCUUUCUGAAAUUGUUUUACAUCCCAC
RNAcentral lists this long non-coding RNA (205 nucleotides) under Mytilus galloprovincialis (Mediterranean mussel). The record is from RNAcentral. Lineage: Eukaryota; Metazoa; Mollusca; Bivalvia; Mytilida; Mytilidae.